Molecule: transfer RNA, 74 nt
Filed under: Leptotrichia sp. oral taxon 847
Lineage: Bacteria; Fusobacteriati; Fusobacteriota; Fusobacteriia; Fusobacteriales; Leptotrichiaceae
Description: tRNA-Gln
Rfam family: tRNA
About the family: Transfer RNA (tRNA) molecules are approximately 80 nucleotides in length. Their secondary structure includes four short double-helical elements and three loops (D, anti-codon, and T loops).
Source: RNAcentral
UCAGGAAUAGUCUAAUGGUAGGACGUCCGGCUCUGACCCGGCAGGUAGUGGUUCGAAUCCAUUUUCCUGAGCCA